Molecule: long non-coding RNA, 294 nt
Organism: Gossypium arboreum
Lineage: Eukaryota; Viridiplantae; Streptophyta; Magnoliopsida; Malvales; Malvaceae
Exons: 2
Source: RefSeq, a predicted model, not a curated record
CUAAAUGUAUUCAUUUUAGAUCAAGACAUCAAAGAGGGAGAAUCAAGCAAAGGCAAAGCAAAGAUAAUCGAGUAGUCGAUUGGGAAUCAUUUCAUCCAAUAUAAGGUUUCUUGGACUCGUCCUUUUGCGUGCUCGUGAUCGUCAUGGAAGUCAUCACACCGGCUAGCAACUUUUGGUAUCUUUUUUUGUAGUCGGUCUAGGAGAACAUUUUGGCAUGUAUAGGCUAAUAUGCUUUGUUGAACUUUGGUAUGUAAACUUUUAGCCAUGCGAAAAUGGCAUAAAUGUUCGGUUGGA